RNAcentral lists this ribosomal RNA (1683 nucleotides) under Triticum aestivum (bread wheat). RNAcentral's name for it is "partial small subunit ribosomal RNA". Lineage: Eukaryota; Viridiplantae; Streptophyta; Magnoliopsida; Poales; Poaceae. The record is from RNAcentral.
AUGGCGGAUGCCAUACCCUGCCCACCGGAGCCCUCCGCCAGUGCCCUCGAUGCCGCAGCUCCAUCUUGGAACAACUCUGACGCCGACCAACAGACGCUCCUCUGCCUCAAGUCUGGCCUUGCCAGCAACCUCACCACUGGAGCGCUGGCAACAUGGCGACACGACUCCCAGAGCUUCUGUCAAUGGCGCGGUGUGACAUGCAGCACCGUGCAGAGCGCAGCACCUCGUGUUGUUGCGCUAGACCUCAUGUCGCUGAACCUUACCGGUCAGAUUCCUCCUUGCAUUGGCAACCUCAGUUUCUUGACCAGGAUAAACAUGCCGGACAAUAAGAUCAGUGGCAGCAUUCCCCCGGAGAUAGGCCGCCUGGCACAACUCAGACAACUAAACCUCAGCAUCAACUCCAUAGGCGGCAUGAUCCCCGAUGCACUGUCAAUGUGUUCCCGCCUGGAGAUCAUAAGCCUGUCAAGCAACCUCCUGGAAGGUGAGAUCCCUUCAGCUCUUGCUCAAAGUUCAUCCCUCGAACAGCUUGUCCUCAGUGACAACUUUCUUCAGGGGCACAUACCACCCGGGUUUGCCUUGCUUCCGAACCUUUCUAUAUUAUCCUUUGCUAGGAACAAGCUUUCAGGCACCAUUCCUCGGUUCCUAGGAGGCAACUCGCGUCUUACCAAGCUUGCUCUCGACAACAAUGCGUUCACAGGAGAAAUUCCACGCUUCCUAGUGAAUUCCUCCUCGCUUGCUUACCUCAACCUUGCAUCAAACAAGCUCCGUGGAGAGAUCCCUCCUGCACUAUUCAAUAGCUCAUUGCUUUACACCUUAAAUCUCUCUUACAAUGGUUUUUCCGGGUCAAUCCCGUCCUUCGCUCAUGCAUCCUCUCCCUUGAAAUAUCUUAGCUUGACUAGCAAUAACCUUUCAGGGAGCAUACCUAGCUCAUUAGGGAACUUUUCCUCCCUAUCCUUCCUAUUGCUUGCUCUGAACAACUUACAAGAGAGCAUUCCAGAGAGCUUAGGUAGCCUUGCAGGUUUGCAAGUAUUAGACAUGACAUAUAACAACUUGUCAGGCACAGUUCCUCCAACUAUAUAUGCAAUCCCAUCUCUAACUUAUCUUGGCCUUGGAGCCAACCAGCUAUCUGGGAGAAUUCCAACCAACAUUGGCUAUACACUUCUGAGAAUUCAGAUGUUGGUAAUGCAAGGUAACCAGUUUGAUGGCCCAGUACCUGCUUCUUUGGCAAAUGCCUCUGACCUAAAAUACCUUGGCCUCCGCAAUAACGCAUUCAGUGGUAUCAUUCCUUCUCUGGGGUCUUUGACAAACUUGGUCACUCUAGAUCUGGGUGACAAUCUGCUUGAAGCUGGUGACUGGACUUUCUUGUCCUCACUAACAAGUUGCACCCAGUUGCAAAAGUUAUACUUGGAUAGGAAUAAUCUUCAAGGAGAGUUACCUACUUCCAUUGGCAAUCUUCCGAAAAACUUACAGUGGUUGCUUCUGAAUGAUAACCAAAUAACUGGUUUCAUACAUCCAGAUAUAGGAAAUCUCAGCAGUCUCACUCUUAUUCAUAUGGAGAGAAAUUUCCUCUCAGGGAAUAUUCCUGCUACACUUGGAAAUAUUCAGACUCUGUUUGUCCUGAAUUUAGCAGAAAACAAAUUUUCUGGAGAAGUCCACGAUCAAUUGGAAACCUUGAGAAGCUAA